AAGAGGCUUCCCGUCCAGAGUCACCUCCUCCAGCUCCGCCAUCUUGCGUGAGGUACUCGGGUCCGUCCCGACGGCUUCGGGCAUCUUCGCAGGGAGAGGAGCUCAAGAAUCUACAUCGUUAAGCACACUAAGUAACUCUGAUGGUGGUGGUCUUGGAAUGGUCAUGGCAGGCUGCAGAUCUCCAGAUCCCUGAGACUGAGAGGCAACUCUCUCCUUUGUAUCCUGGGUUCAAGAGGCUGCACCUAUAAGAAUGAAGAUCUGUAGACAUCGGCUUGCAGCAACCCUGAGGACUAGUGGCGGCAGCAGCAGCAGCAGCAGCAGCAGCAGCAGCAUCUCCCUUCUGUGUCUCUCCGUAGAUACAGCCUGGAUCCUGUCUUCCGUCCCCUUGUUCCCUGGCUCACUGUUUCUGGCUUUCCUCUCUUUACUAUUUUUCACCUAUGCCCCCCACUACUCUUGCUUAUUUUUUCAAGAUUUGAAUGUUGUUGACUCAGUCUACAGUUCCCUGCCAGGAGGUUGGAUAUGAACCACCCUCUUCCAGAGGUGCCAGAGGCAGAGUGCUGGGGGAGGGGAAGUGUUAUUCUGAGGCCUCAGCUGACCUUUCCAAAGAGGAGCCUGCCUUAUCCAUGAUGAAACUCUUUCCUUGUUUUUUGUUUGUUUGUUUUGUAGAGAUGGAGCCUCUCUAUGUUGUCGAGGCUGGUCUCAAACUCCUGGCCUCAAGUGAUCCUCCUGCUUCAGCCUCCCCAAGUGCUGAGAUUACAGGUGUGAGCCACUGUGUGUGGCUGGGAACUCUUUCCUAAUCCUUUCCAUCCCUCAUCCUAUUUCUUGUGCCUUUCUGAGUAGAAAACCUUGGAACCUUCACCGAACUAGAAAACUGGUGUCACCAUAAUAGGGGAAGUGGGGGACAGAGGUAUUCUUUGCUUUGUAGUUGCCUGCUGGCCUCACUGGACAUGGCCAAACAAGGCUUCUGCACUUCACUAGCCCCGGUUUCAGAACUGGGUGGCCUCUAACUAAACUACAAGACUUCUAGGAUCUCCUACAUCUAUGUAGGGCUCUUAGUGGGUGCUCAACAAAUACAUGUUAGUUGACUGACACCUCCUGUAAGAGGCCGUUGUGUUAGGUCUGUUAGGUUUCACAGAUGCUGCUUAUAGGCAUGCAGAGGAGGGAAAAUAAACUUUUUUUUUUUUUUUUUUUUGUCUUUUUGAGUUUCGCUCUUCUCA
This 1217-nucleotide long non-coding RNA is filed under the name Homo sapiens (human). RNAcentral's name for it is "HSALNT0375687". Lineage: Eukaryota; Metazoa; Chordata; Mammalia; Primates; Hominidae. The record is from RNAcentral.